This 228-nucleotide ribosomal RNA is filed under the name uncultured bacterium. Its description in RNAcentral is "partial 16S ribosomal RNA". It matches the Rfam family "Bacterial small subunit ribosomal RNA", at positions 116 to 334 of the family's 1533-position model. The record is from RNAcentral.
AAUGGGGAACCUACCCUGGGAGAGAGGGAUACCGGCGCGAAAGCGCCGACAAGCCCGCAUACGCUCGCUUUCUUGGGAAAGAGAGGGAGGAAAGCUUCUUUUCGGAGAGGCGCUCUAGGAUGGGCCUGUGGCCGAUUAGCUAGCUGGUGGGGUAACGGCUCACCAGGGCGACGAUCGGUAGCUGGUCUGAGAGGACGAUCAGCCACACUGGGAUUGAGAACGGCCCAG